AAUAGAUACCCUGGUAGUCCACGCCGUAAACGAUGAGUGCUAAGUGUUAGGGGGGUUUCCGCCCCUUAGUGCUGCAGCUAACGCAUUAAGCACUCCGCCUGGGGGAGUACGGUCGCAAGACUGAAACUCAAAGGAAUUGACGGGGGGCCCGCACAAGCGGUGGAGCAUGUGGUUUAAUUCGAAGCAACGCGAAGAACCUUACCAGGUCUUGACAUCCCAUUGACCACUAUGGAGACAUAGUUUUCCCUUCGGGGACAACGGUGACAGGUGGUGCAUGGUUGUCGUCAGCUCGUGUCGUGAGAUGUUGGGUUAAGUCCCGCAACGAGCGCAACCCUUGUUCUUAGUUGCCAUCAUUUAGUUGGGCACUCUAAGGAGACUGCCGGUGACAAACCGGAGGAAGGUGGGGAUGACGUCAAAUCAUCAUGCCCCUUAUGACCUGGGCUACACACGUGCUACAAUGGACGGUACAAACGGUUGCCAACCCGCGAGGGGGAGCUAAUCCGAUAAAACCGUUCUCAGUUCGGAUCGUAGGCUGCAACUCGCCUACAUGGAACG
This 555-nucleotide ribosomal RNA is filed under the name uncultured bacterium. RNAcentral describes it as "bacterial SSU rRNA". It matches the Rfam family "Bacterial small subunit ribosomal RNA", at positions 777 to 1327 of the family's 1533-position model. The record is from RNAcentral.